RNAcentral lists this long non-coding RNA (515 nucleotides) under Anas platyrhynchos platyrhynchos (common mallard). RNAcentral's name for it is "lncRNA (ENSAPLG00000027745.1)". The record is from RNAcentral. Lineage: Eukaryota; Metazoa; Chordata; Aves; Anseriformes; Anatidae.
GGUACAUACUGUUUUAUAUACAGGAUGCAUAAUAAAUUCCUAUGAGAUUAUGCUGCAAUUGAGUAGAAAGUCUAUAAUGCAUAAGUGAUGGAGCUGCAAAGCAGCUAGGAAGGAUUUUCCUUUCAAAAUAAGGUCACAUAUUUAUAUCUCAUAGGGCAACAUGAUGGGUGCUGAGGAGCAAGAGGCACUGAGUUGCACUUGCUGACUCGCACAGAGUUAUCUUGGUGUGCUGAAGCUUUCUUUAUAUUCUAUGCUGCUGAACCCCCAACCAGGGAUUUGUGGUGACUUUCAGAACAGAGAAAACAGAGGAUAGGCCUAAUCUCAGCUAUCAUUAGCUAAACAAGGCAUCUCUUCUCAGGUUAAUUUUUCGAAGAGAUAUCGGUUUGUUAAGACUAAACUUGUCCAUUAAAAAGGGUUAAUUCCAAACGGGGAAGCCUCCCACUUCGAAAACUGAAAUGGAGGAAUAUGCAUAACUGCCAAAACAAGAAAUCUGUAAAGAAUCAUAUCUCUGAAGU